Molecule: ribosomal RNA, 1000 nt
Filed under: uncultured organism
Description: bacterial SSU rRNA
Rfam family: Bacterial small subunit ribosomal RNA
Source: RNAcentral
GGGGGAUAUUGCGCAAUGGGGGCAACCCUGACGCAGCAACGCCGCGUGAAGGAUGAAGGUUUUCGGAUUGUAAACUUCUUUUAUUAAGGACGAAAAAUGACGGUACUUAAUGAAUAAGCUCCGGCUAACUACGUGCCAGCAGCCGCGGUAAUACGUAGGGAGCAAGCGUUGUCCGGAUUUACUGGGUGUAAAGGGUGCGUAGGCGGCUUUGCAAGUCAGAUGUGAAAUCUAUGGGCUCAACCCAUAAACUGCAUUUGAAACUGUAGAGCUUGAGUGAAGUAGAGGCAGGCGGAAUUCCCCGUGUAGCGGUGAAAUGCGUAGAGAUGGGGAGGAACACCAGUGGCGAAGGCGGCCUGCUGGGCUUUAACUGACGCUGAGGCACGAAAGCGUGGGUAGCAAACAGGAUUAGAUACCCUGGUAGUCCACGCUGUAAACGAUGAUUACUAGGUGUGGGGGGUCUGACCCCUUCCGUGCCGGAGUUAACACAAUAAGUAAUCCACCUGGGGAGUACGGCCGCAAGGUUGAAACUCAAAGGAAUUGACGGGGGCCCGCACAAGCAGUGGAGUAUGUGGUUUAAUUCGAAGCAACGCGAAGAACCUUACCAGGUCUUGACAUCCAACUAACGAAGUAGAGAUACAUUAGGUGCCCUUCGGGGAAAGUUGAGACAGGUGGUGCAUGGUUGUCGUCAGCUCGUGUCGUGAGAUGUUGGGUUAAGUCCCGCAACGAGCGCAACCCUUGCUAUUAGUUGCUACGCAAGAGCACUCUAAUAGGACUGCCGUUGACAAAACGGAGGAAGGUGGGGACGACGUCAAAUCAUCAUGCCCCUUAUGACCUGGGCUACACACGUACUACAAUGGAUGUUAACAGAGGGAAGCAAGACAGCGAUGUGGAGCAAACCCCUAAAAACAUUCUCAGCUCAGAUUGCAGGCUGCAACCCGCCUGCAUGAAGAUGGAAUUGCUAGUAAUCGCGGAUCAGCAUGCCGCGGUGAAUACGUUCCCG